This 468-nucleotide ribosomal RNA is filed under the name uncultured bacterium. Its description in RNAcentral is "partial 16S ribosomal RNA". It matches the Rfam family "Bacterial small subunit ribosomal RNA", at positions 28 to 507 of the family's 1533-position model. The record is from RNAcentral.
GACGAACGCUGGCGGUGUGCUUAACACAUGCAAGUCGAACGGUAAGGCCCUUUCGGGGGUACACGAGUGGCGAACGGGUGAGUAACACGUGAGUAACCUGCCCUCAUCUCUGGGAUAACAGUCGGAAACGGUUGCUAAUACUGGAUAUGAGCUUGCAAGGCAUCUUGUGGGUUGGAAAGAUUUUUUUUGGUUGGGGAUGGACUCGCGGCCUAUCAGCUUGUUGGUGAGGUAGUGGCUCACCAAGGCUUCGACGGGUAGCCGGCCUGAGAGGGCGACCGGCCACAUUGGGACUGAGAGACGGCCCAAACUCCUACGGGAGGCAGCAGUGGGGAAUAUUGCACAAUGGACGGAAGUCUGAUGCAGCAACGCCGCGUGCGGGAUGACGGCCUUCGGGUUGUAAACCGCUUUCAAUUGUGACGAAGCUUUUUUGUGACGGUAGCAGUAGAAGAAGCACCGGCUAACUACGUG